This 24-nucleotide non-coding RNA is filed under the name Mus musculus (house mouse). Lineage: Eukaryota; Metazoa; Chordata; Mammalia; Rodentia; Muridae. The record is from RNAcentral.
UGAUCGUGUCUUCUGCGCUCAUGA